GAUGAACGCUGGCGGCGUGCCUAAUACAUGCAAGUCGAGCGAUAAGACGCGGCGCUUGGCUCUCUGACGUUAGAGGCGGACGGGUGAGGACCACGUGGAUACACUACCUAUAAGUAUCGGAUAAAUUCGGGAAACAGUAGCUAAUACGGGCUAAUAUAGUGAACCGGUUGGUUCAAUAGUGCAAGCGGGUUUAGCGGUCACUUAUAGAUGGAUUCGUGCCGGAUUAGCUAGUUGGUAAGGUAACGGCUCACCAAGGCAACGAUGCGUAGCCGACCUGAGAGGAUGAUCGGCCACACUGGAACUGAGACACGGUCCAGACUCCUACGGGAGGCAGCAGUAGGGAAUCUUCGGCAAAGGGCGAAAGCCUGACCGAGCAACGCCGCGUGAGUGAAGAAGGUCUUCGGAUCGUAAAACUCUGUUAUUAGGGAAGAACAAGUUCGUGAGUAACUAUGCACGUCUUGACGGUACCGAAUCAGAAAGCCACGGCUAACUACGUG
Molecule: ribosomal RNA, 497 nt
Filed under: uncultured bacterium
Lineage: Bacteria
Description: partial 16S ribosomal RNA
Rfam family: Bacterial small subunit ribosomal RNA
Source: RNAcentral